Pangasianodon hypophthalmus (striped catfish) is the source of this 4027-nucleotide RNA transcript. It is a transcript of the gene named polycomb group ring finger 6, with no coding region annotated. The record is from RefSeq and is a predicted model, not a curated record. The transcript has 14 exons. NCBI's taxonomy places the organism in Eukaryota, Metazoa, Chordata, Actinopteri, Siluriformes, Pangasiidae.
AUAAUUAUGUGUGGCAUUUCAACGUUGUUGUGGUUGUUGUUUAAGUUAAAAAGCAUUUUUGUGUUGACUUUUAUUGUGUGUAAACCCGCACGCGGCAUCUCGGUGUUGUUAUUGUCGCGCGCAAAGCUUGACUCGCGGGAUUUAAUGUUGUAGCAACCGGCUGUGAGGAGAAAUGCUGUUAAAGUUCAUUUAUUUACUGUAACACGGUUUAAACGUCUCAGUUUCGCUGGAAAACAAGACCCAAAGCAGGAUAUGGUUAUGUUCAUCUGAAAAGAACAGAAUAUUUAAGAAAAAAUAUAUAUAUAUUUAAAAAAUAACGACGAAGAAUGGACGACAGCCGUGAGGGAAAGGAAAGUUUGGGCGAGGGCUCGUGCAGUGGCGCUGACGCUCAGGAGGAAGCUCCGGGGAGCAACAUCACCUGUGCAGAGCAUUCACUGCCACUGAGGGAGCUGUAUCCUUAUAUUCGUUGUGGUCUCUGCAAUGGCUUCUUCAUCGAUGCCACCACCAUCACUGAAUGCCUUCAUACAUUCUGUAAAAGUUGCAUUGUCAAGCACUUCUUCUGCAGCAACAGGUGUCCCAACUGUAGCAUCGUCGUUCAUCAAACACAACCACUAUACAAUAUAAGACCUGACAGGCAGUUACAAGAUAUUGUUUAUAAGAUGGUCCCAUGUUUGGAGGACGUGGAGAGGGCACGAAUGUGUGCGUUUUACAAAGAGAGAGGACUGCCAAUCCCAAAACCAGCUCUAAGUAUGCUUCCAGUAAAGCUUCUGAAACAGAAACAGAGAGACCACAUGCCACAGUCUGUUUUCACCAUUCCUCCAGAGCUUGAUGUGUCUCUAAUGUUGGAUUUUGUUGGAGCUGAGGAGGGCAUUGAGAAUUAUAAGCCUUUGGAGAGAAAGUAUAUCCGUGUCUCAGGUGAAGCUACUAUUCGUCACGUGGAGCUCUUUAUCAGAAGGAAAAUGGAGUUGAGUCCAAAUCUGAAGGUGGAUGUUGUUUGUGGAGAGCAUCUCUUAGAGCAGUGUCAGUCUUUAAGAGAAGUGCAAAGCACAAUGGGAGAAAAUGCCCUACAGGAUGGAAUGCUGGUUUUACAGUUUGGACUUGUGCUGCCUACUCAGUGAACAGAAGACUGUGAAUUAUCUAACCUUCUAUCCACAGGGAACAACGACGAUGACCCCAAACACACCUCUAGGUUAUGUAAGAGCUAUUUGUCCAAGAAGAAGAGUGAUGGAAUGCUGCAUCAGAUGACCUGGCCUCCACAAUCACCCGAUCUAAAUCCAACAGAGAUGGACAAGAAGAUGCAGCAAAAUACAGCAAAACAACAGAAGUAACUUCGAGUGCAGGUAUGUGUGCCAGCCCAGCAGGAGACUCCAGAGGGUAAAGGCUCAUCAGCCCGACAUGAACACACCAUGCGGCUCUCAGUGGGUGACUGAGAAUACAGAAAACGUUGGUUUCCUGCAAGCUGUCCACCCACCUCAUGCUCUAAAGAAAACUACACACCAUUUGGCCUCGACCUUUCAGAACACACCUGGCACUCCGUUUGCAGACGAAUAUCAACACACCGAAUACCAGGCCGUCUAUGGUCCUAAGGUCAACACAGCUCUUUUCAGCUUUACUCUGUACCGACAGAUCCACGGAACAGCUUAAAAGGUAUUUCAUCAGAACACAAAACAAUAGUACAGCAGCACAGUACAUAGUACUAUAGAUUCCAGCUUCAUCGAGGGUGUUCAUAACAGUCAACAUAUUCAUGACAUCAUAACCUUCUAUAACAUCAUAUCCCAGCCCAAUUAUAAAUGUGACAUUACUAGAGGCUUACUCCUAUAUUUAUAUUUACUUCUAUAACUUGCUGUGGUUUUCCUGGUAGCAUCUAGCUAGUGCUAUACAGCUACACAAAUUAUAUAGCACAACACAAUAUGCACAAAUAGUUAAUCAAUGGUAUCUCACCAUAUGCUACGAUUUCAUCACUGACUAUUGGAACUUCAAAACACUGAGUUCUUUUUUUUAUACCUUAUCCCCUGAUGUAGGAUGUAAAAUAUUUACACAUAGCAUAUCAUAGAAUAAGUAGAAAUUCAAGCAAAACUUUAUUUCUUCUCCACAGCAGGUCUCCAGGUGCCAAAUGUAAAAAUUUGAAUUCUCUUCUCAGAUACAGUGGAUAUAAAAAGUGUACCACCCCCUGCCCCCCCUUUUUUGUGAUUUUUCGUCAUUUAUAAAAAUGACACAAAGACAAAUCCAUAUAAAUUAUCCAAAUAAUAAAUAAUGCAUAUAAAUAUAUCCAAAAAUAAUCAUACCCACUGUAUAUUACAAAGAGUAAUUCAUGAAGCAUUGGGACUGUUGGGAGACAUCCAUGCUCCACGCAAAUUCUUUGGCCUCAUCACAUCAAGACAGUCAGUCUAUUUGCAGAGAAGUACACACAUCAAACACCAGAGCAUCUUGUCCAGAGAUCACGAGUUCACGACAUCACAGCCAUCCGUGUCCAAGAGAGCAAAAUUUGCCAUGCUCUCAGGGAAAGAGUGGCAUGCUCUCUCUUCCUUAUCAAUCACAGCGACACUAGCGAAUCAUGGGCAUCUGUAAGCUCAUGUUUGUGAAAGUGGCUGAUCACGCUUCCCUCCGAGUGUGUUACGCCACCCCCGACUUUGCAUGAGCAGCAGUUCGAAAAGACGCUGACUUGGAGGAAGGACGUGAUAGCCUUUGUCCUCCCUGGUUGUAGCUGUUGGUGGAGAAAUCAGUGACGAAAUAGGGAGAAAAUCAGUGGGAAAAAAUGAUUAAACAAACAAUGAGCAAUUGAGCAGGGGUUUGUUUAUGUUUGUUUUGUUUAUUUUGUGUGUUAAAUACUUAUAGGUUUCCUCACCCACAACAUACCUGGUUCAGCUCAGUAAGGGCUUUAAAUUUAUGAGAAUUUACUCAUGUAUAUUUAUUAAUUCAUCACUUUCCUAGUCUUUUUAGAACAUGCAGAAUAUGCCAUUUCAACAUAUCUCUGUACCAACAUACCCACAGACUUCCACAGGUGGACUUUAGAAAUGGCAGAGAUUUGAGUUUGGUGUGUGCCUCUAAGUGUGUCUUGCAUGUUCUCUUCCUAAACCAUAUCCAGGAGUGACAUUCUAUGGAAAAAGGUAAGAGGCAAUCGUGGCAACAUAAUAUCGUGUAGAGACAUUGAUAUCGUUAUAUCACACAAGCCUGCAUACAGUGCUUGUUUAACUAUAGUACCUAGUGCCAGCUGAGGAGGACAGCUCCCUAAAAGGCUGGGUUUCUUCUGAGCUUUCUCCAUAAAUGAAUCUAAGUAAAUGUAACAUGGAGUUUUUCCUCACCACGGUUGCUCUUUUGGGAUUAAGGCACUGGGCAAAGUAUGGUAGCAAGUAAAAUCAGAUGCAGAAUGCAAUAUUGCAUUGCUUAACAAUGUUUAGGUAUAACAUACGGUCAUUUAAUUUGUGUAGUACUGCAUAUAAACUGUACUGAUCCUGUCCUGUUCUGCUCUCCGGACCUGCCUGAUCCAUCCUGAUGCCCUACCUCUGGUUGGAGCUCUCGUCACUUGGAAACCAUUCACUGCUGCUGAAGAUGGCCCCCACACAGACAGCCAAAAGAUACAUAAGAUUACUGUGGAUGGUACCACUUAAAAACCAUGAAGAUGGCUUUGGACUUCAGUUGAUACGAACACUUUUGCUACGAUAGUUGCUAUGAUAGCUUUAGGACUGCAAUUUGCCACGAACAGUUUUGCACUCAAGUCUCCAUCAGUGAACAGUUGAUAACUUCAACAAAAUAGACUUCUUGCAAAAACUAUAAUGAAUUUCCUGGUUACACAAUUGCACUUAUUGACCAUGUAGUACACAGUUAUAGAAGGGAAGUACUUAAUCACAGUAUUCACUGUCAUGCAGAUGAGGAUGGGUUCCCUUUUGAGUCUGGUUUCUCUCAAUGUUUCUUCCUCAUAUCAUCUCAGGGAGUUUUAUCUUGCCACUGUCACCUCUGACUUGCUCAUUAGGGAUAAUUAAAAUUUAUUUCCUGGAUUGCUGCAUUGUGUCAAUGUCCAUUGUUAAAA